This 508-nucleotide ribosomal RNA is filed under the name uncultured bacterium. RNAcentral's name for it is "bacterial SSU rRNA". It matches the Rfam family "Bacterial small subunit ribosomal RNA", at positions 8 to 513 of the family's 1533-position model. The record is from RNAcentral.
AGAGUUUGAUCCUGGCUCAGGAUGAACGCUAGCGGGAGGCCUAACACAUGCAAGUCGAACGGGAUCCCCGAGCAAUCGGGGUGAGAGUGGCGCACGGGUGAGUAACGCGUAUGCAACCUACCUGUAACAGAGGGAUAGCCCAGAGAAAUUUGGAUUAAUACCUCAUAAUAUUGUUGAAUGGCAUCAUUUGACAAUUAAAGUUUCGGCGGUAAAAGAUGGCUAUGCGUCCUAUUAGUUAGUUGGUGAGGUAACGGCUCACCAAGACAUCGAUAGGUAGGGGUCCUGAGAGGGAGAUCCCCCACACUGGUACUGAGACACGGACCAGACUCCUACGGGAGGCAGCAGUGAGGAAUAUUGGACAAUGGGCGCAAGCCUGAUCCAGCCAUGCCGCGUGCAGGAAGACGGCCCUAUGGGUUGUAAACUGCUUUUUAUACAGGAAGAAAAACUUUUCACGUGUGGGAGCUUGACGGUAGUGUAUGAAUAAGCAUCGGCUAACUCCGUGCCAGCA